This 968-nucleotide ribosomal RNA is filed under the name Xylella fastidiosa. RNAcentral describes it as "partial 23S ribosomal RNA". It matches the Rfam family "Bacterial large subunit ribosomal RNA", at positions 1 to 1021 of the family's 2925-position model. The record is from RNAcentral. Lineage: Bacteria; Pseudomonadati; Pseudomonadota; Gammaproteobacteria; Lysobacterales; Lysobacteraceae.
GUUAUAUGGUCAAGCGAAUAAGCGCACAUGGUGGAUGCCUUGGCGGUCAGAGGCGAUGAAGGACGUGGUAGCCUGCGAAAAGUGUCGGGGAGCUGGCAACAAGCUUUGAUCCGGCAAUAUCCGAAUGGGGGAACCCACUGUUUAGGCAGUAUCUUUGAGUAAAUUCAUAGCUCAAGGAGGCGAACCUGGUGAACUGAAAUAUCUAAGUAACCAGAGGAAAAGAAAUCAACAGAGAUUCCCUGAGUAGUGACGAGCGAACGGGGAUUAGCCCUUAAGCUAGUAUGGUUUUAGGAAAGCAAUCUGGAAAGGUUGGCCAUAGAAGGUGAUAGCCCUGUAUCCGAAAGGGCCGUACUAGUGAAGAUGAGUAGGACGGGGCACGUGAAACCUUGUCUGAAUAUGGGGGGUCCAUCCUCCAAGGCUAAAUACUCCUGACCGACCGAUAGUGAACUAGUACCGUGAGGGAAAGGCGAAAAGAACCCCGGAGAGGGGAGUGAAAUAGAACCUGAAACCAUGUGCGUACAAGCAGUAGGAGCCCUUAUGGGUGACUGCGUACCUUUUGUAUAAUGGGUCAGCGACUUACUGUUCGUGGCGAGCUUAACCGUAUAGGGGAGGCGAAGGGAAACCGAGUCUGAUAAGGGCGCAUAGUCGCGGGCAGUAGACCCGAAACCGGGUGAUCUAGUCAUGUCCAGGGUGAAGGUGCUGUAACAGGUACUGGAGGCCCGAACCCACUCCCGUUGCAAAGGUAGGGGAUGAGGCGUGAUUAGGAGUGAAAAGCUAAUCGAACCCGGAGAUAGCUGGUUCUCCUCGAAAGCUAUUUAGGUAGCGCCUCAUAUGUAUCCUCUCGGGGGUAGAGCACUGUUAUGGCUAGGGGGUCAUCGCGACUUGCCAAACCAUUGCAAACUCCGAAUACCGAGAAGGACUGUAUGGGAGACACACGGCGGGUGCUAACGUCCGUCGUGAAAAGGGAA